Molecule: long non-coding RNA, 915 nt
Organism: Sarcophilus harrisii (Tasmanian devil)
Lineage: Eukaryota; Metazoa; Chordata; Mammalia; Dasyuromorphia; Dasyuridae
Source: Ensembl
AGUAAGUGUGUGAAGCCAGAUUUGAAUGGAGGAAGAGGAGUCAUCCUGACUCUAGGCUCCUUUACUCUAUCCAUUAUGCUACCUAGAUGCCCUGAAAUUGGAAGAAGUCGCUAAUGUUAGUGCUUUGUCCUUCUAUAAGAGAGAAUCAAUAACAUCACAGGAUAUCAUAUCACAGGCAAGACAAAACUGACGAUGACUUGGGAUGGUCUGAUAAUGAUGAUCUUGGCAUCUUUGAUGUCUGACCAGGCUCUAAGCCCUCCACACUACCUGCUUCAGCUGCCUUCCUGACUGCUGGAACAAAUUGUUCUCAUCUACCCAUUCACCAGGAGAAAUCUUCACCUGCUUGGGACAGUUUUAGUCCCUGGGGCACCUUCUUCAAGAAGGACUUGAGAAGACCUCUUGUGUGAAGGCUGAUGAAUCUGAUUUCGCUGCCAAAUUACCCCAAGCAAUCUAGCCAAAUAGAGUGUGCACCAUGGGCUCUGUCACCACCAUAUGUCCCCUGAACAACUCCAGUGGGAUGUGGGACAAGAUGUACAAUCAGCUCCUUUCAAACCUAGCUCCUCCACUGCGAAUUUCAGGAUGCAUUGAUUCACGCCUAGGCAAAUCCAGCCAUCAAUCUGACCUGCCCAAGACAGCUGUAGGCUAAAGGAAUGUAAGGGCUUGCAGCAACAGAAACAUUGGAAAGCUGGGGAAGUGUGGGCAGAAUGCUUGUGGUGCCGUUCUCCUGCCAGUGUUCUGCUGCACAGUAAUGUCAUCUUGUCUGGCAGGGGGUACCCUGAAGGCUCUGGCUCUGCCACUCGCCCUUGCUCCAAAUCUCUAGUUCUCUAUUUGAUGUGUUACUUGGCUGGACAAAGUUACAGGAAAUGUCAUCUUCCUUCUCCUGUGGUCAUGAAAUAAAUGAAUAAAUUACUCAAC